CCCUGUGCAAGACAAUUGCUUCCUGCAAACAGCAGUUACUGACUAAAGAGCAAAGGAGUAAAUAGCUGCUUCCAGAGCCAGAAUCCGAAGACUAUGUCGCAGACGCGUCCUGAGAGCACACAAGAGUGAGAAGACAACGAGCUGUGUGGACCAGAUGGCAGAUGAAAUGACACUCAGAGCUGAGGUUAAAGACAAAGGGAGAGUAAAC
Molecule: long non-coding RNA, 208 nt
Organism: Solea senegalensis (Senegalese sole)
Lineage: Eukaryota; Metazoa; Chordata; Actinopteri; Pleuronectiformes; Soleidae
Exons: 3
Source: RefSeq, a predicted model, not a curated record